UCAAGCGAACAAGGGCGCAGGGCGAAUGCCUUGGCACUGGGAGCCGAUGAAAGACGUGAUAAGCUGCGAUAAGCUUCGGGGAGCUGCAAAUAAGCAUUGAUCCGGAGAUUUCUGAAUGAGGAAACUCACCUGGGUUCAUACUCAGGUACGUUAUACUGAACUUAAAAAUAGGUAUAUCGAGGGAACCGCCUGAACUGAAACAUCUAAGUAGGGCGAGGAAGAGACAUCAAACGAGAUUCCGUAAGUAGUGGCGAGCGAACGCGGAAGAGGGCAAACCGGGAGUAGAAAUACUUCCGGGGUACGGACUGCUUUUAGGACUCAAUCUGUUAACCGAACGGCAUGGGAAGGCCGGUCAGAGAGUGUGAGAACCACGUAGGUGAAAACGGAAAGAGCUGCGCAGGAUCCAGAGUACGGCCAGACACGUGAAACCUGGUCGGAAUACGGGGGGACCACCCUCCAACCCUAAAUACUACCCAGUGACCGAUAGCGUAUAGUACUGUGAAGGAAAGGUGAAAAGCACCCCGGGAGGGGAGUGAAAAAGAACCUGAAACCCUGUGCCUACAAGCACCUAGAGCACGUCAAUGUGUGAUAGGGUACUUUUUGUAGAACGGUCCGGCGAGCGAUUGUAUGCAGCAAGGUUAAGGACUUAAGGUCUGGAGCCGAAGCGAAAGCGAGUUUGAAAAGGGCGUUAAGUUGCAUACAAUGGGCCCGAAACCGGGUGACCUACCCAUGGUCAGGUUGAAGUGGAAGUAAAAUUCCAUGGAGGACCGAACCGACCUCCGUUGAAAAGGCGGCGGAUGAACUGUGGGUAGCGGAGAAAUUCCAAUCGAACCCGGAGAUAGCUGGUUCUCCCCGAAAUAGUUUUAGGACUAGCCUCAAGUUAGAUACCUGGAGGUAAAGCACUGAAUAGCCUAGCGGCCGAGAGGUUAGCGAAGCUUAUCAAACUCAGAAUGCCAGAGUAUUGAUGCUUGGGAGUCAGACAGUGUCAGAUAAAUGUCAUUGUCAAAAGGGAAACAGCCCAGAUCUACAGCUAAGGUCCCAAAGUCAGGUUAAGUGGAAAACGAUGUGAAGAUACGUAGACAACCAGGAUGUUGGCUCAGAAGCAGCCACUCAUUCAAAGAGUGCGUAAUAGCUCACUGGUCGAGCGUCUUUGCGCGGAGAAUUUAACGGGGCUAAACCUGACACCGAAGCUUAGGCAAUCCAGUAAUGGAUUGGGUAGGGGAGCGUUGUAUACGCGGAGAAACAGUAGCGUAAGCGGCUGUGGAGUGUAUAGAAGUGAGAAUGCCGGAAUGAGUAGCGCGAAUGCAGUGAGAAUCUGCAUGGCCGAAAGCCUCAGGUUUCUGGAGGAAGGUUCGUCCGCUCCAGGUUAGUCGGGAGCUAAGGUGAGGCCUAACGGCGUAGCCGAUGCACAGACGGUAGAGAUUCCGUCACCACCAAAAGAGUUAAACACAGGGACACAUUUGAAGUCUCGGAGCCGGGUGUUGGUUCCGGUAGCGAUCGAGGGAAAUUAGUACCGAAGUCCGGGAUGGAAGAUGGCGAGAAAAGCUGUGUGUAUUUCUGCGGUGCCCGUACCGCAAACCGACACAGGUAGGUAGGAAGAAGAUUCUAAGGCCAACGGGAGAAGGGUUGUUAAGGAACUCGGCAAAUUGACCCCGUAACUUCGGGAGAAGGGGUGCUCCAGAGAUGGAGCCGCAGAGAAUCGGCCCAAGCAACUGUUUACCAAAAACACAGGUUUGUGCUAAAUCGAAAGAUGACGUAUACGAGCUGACGCCUGCCCGGUGCUGGAAGGUUAAGAGGAGAUGUGCAAGCAUUGAAUCGAAGCCCCAGUGAACGGCGGCCGUAACUAUAACGGUCCUAAGGUAGCGAAAUUCCUUGUCAGGUAAG
Molecule: ribosomal RNA, 1884 nt
Filed under: human gut metagenome
Description: bacterial LSU rRNA
Rfam family: Bacterial large subunit ribosomal RNA
Source: RNAcentral